CGGAUUGAUACUAAGCCAUGCGAGUCAUUGUAGUAAUACAGGGCAGACGGCUCAGUAACGCGUAGUCAACCUAACCUAUGGACGGGAAUAACCUCGGGAAACUGAGUAUAAUGCCCGAUAGAACAUUAUGCCUGGAAUGGUUUAUGUUCCAAAUGAUUUAUCGCCGUAGGAUGGGACUGCGGCCUAUCAGUUUGUUGGUGAGGUAAUGGCCCACCAAGACUAUUACAGGUACGGGCUCUGAGAGGAGUAGCCCGGAGAUGGGUACUGAGACACGGACCCAGGCCCUAUGGGGCGCAGCAGGCGAGAAAACUUUGCAAUGUGCGAAAGCACGACAAGGUUAAUCCGAGUGGUUUCUGCUAAAGGAACCUUUUGUUAGUCCUAGAAACACUAACGAAUAAGGGGUGGGCAAGUUCUGGUGUCAGCCGCCGCGGUAAAACCAGCACCUCAAGUGGUCAGGAUGAUUAUUGGGCCUAAAGCAUCCGUAGCCGGCUCUGUAAGUUUUCGGUUAAAUCUGUACGCUUAACGUACAGGCUGCCGGAAAUACUGCAGGGCUAGGGAGUGGGAGAGGUAGACGGUACUCGGGAGGAAGGGGUAAAAUCCUUUGAUCUUUCGAUGACCACCUGUGGCGAAGGCGGUCUACCAGAACACGUCCGACGGUGAGGGAUGAAAGUUGGGGGAGCAAACCGGAUUAGAUACCCGGGUAGUCCCAACCGUAAACUAUGCAAACUCAGUGAUGCACUGACUUGUGGUCAAUGCAGUGCUGCAGGGAAGCCGUUAAGUUUGCCGCCUGGGAAGUACGUACGCAAGUAUGAAACUUAAAGGAAUUGGCGGGGGAGCACC
Molecule: ribosomal RNA, 840 nt
Filed under: uncultured Nitrososphaerota archaeon
Lineage: Archaea; Thermoproteati; Nitrososphaerota
Description: bacterial SSU rRNA
Rfam family: Archaeal small subunit ribosomal RNA
Source: RNAcentral